AACAGGUUCAAUCUUGAUUCUUUAACUACACCAGAUGGUUUUACUUUCAUUUUUUUCCCUUUGAAUUCUGUUGAUAUCUCAGUAUUUGUCAAAUGGGUUUUUUGUUUUUCUCAAUUGGGUUGUGCUCUUUUUCUUCUUUUGAGAUAAAAAUUGGGUCUUUAAUGUUUAGUCUUGGGUGUGAGUUUUAAAAAUUGAAUCUUUGAUGCUUUAGUUUUCCUAAUUAGUUGAUUAUGACUUAAAUUGGUUUUUGACAA
Molecule: unclassified non-coding RNA, 254 nt
Filed under: Hevea brasiliensis (rubber tree)
Lineage: Eukaryota; Viridiplantae; Streptophyta; Magnoliopsida; Malpighiales; Euphorbiaceae
Source: RNAcentral